CUCGGCAACGGAUAUCUCGGCUCUCGCAUCGAUGAAGAACGUAGCGAAAUGCGAUACUUGGUGUGAAUUGCAGAAUCCCGUGAACCAUCGAGUCUUUGAACGCAAGCUGCGCCCGAAGCCAUUAGGCUGAGGGCACGUCUGCCUGGGCGCCACGC
Molecule: ribosomal RNA, 155 nt
Filed under: Origanum majorana
Lineage: Eukaryota; Viridiplantae; Streptophyta; Magnoliopsida; Lamiales; Lamiaceae
Description: 5.8S ribosomal RNA
Rfam family: 5.8S ribosomal RNA
About the family: 5.8S ribosomal RNA (5.8S rRNA) is a component of the large subunit of the eukaryotic ribosome. It is transcribed by RNA polymerase I as part of the 45S precursor that also contains 18S and 28S rRNA.
Source: RNAcentral